CGUGGGUAACCUGCCUUAUAGUGGGGGAUAGCCUUUCGAAAGGAAGAUUAAUACCGCAUAAGAUUGUAGUAUCGCAUGAUAUAGCAAUUAAAGGAGCAAUUCGCUAUAAGAUGGACCCGCGUCGCAUUAGCUAGUUGGUGAGGUAAUGGCUCACCAAGGCGACGAUGCGUAGCCGACCUGAGAGGGUGAUCGGCCACAUUGGGACUGAGGCACGGCCCAGACUCCUACGGGAGGCAGCAUG
This 241-nucleotide ribosomal RNA is filed under the name uncultured bacterium. Its description in RNAcentral is "partial 16S ribosomal RNA". It matches the Rfam family "Bacterial small subunit ribosomal RNA", at positions 116 to 353 of the family's 1533-position model. The record is from RNAcentral.